UAGGGAAUAUUGGGCAAUGGGCGGAAGCCUGACCCAGCCACGCCGCGUGCAGGAAGACGGCCCUCUGGGUUGUAAACUGCUUUUAACUGGGAAGAAAAGAGGCCUUGCGAGGCAAGUUGACGGUACCAGUUGAAUAAGCCACGGCUAACUACGUGCCAGCAGCCGCGGUAAUACGUAGGUGGCGAGUGUUAUCCGGAUUUAUUGGGUUUAAAGGGAGCGUAGGCGGCUGAUUAAGUCAGCGGUGAAAGG
RNAcentral lists this ribosomal RNA (249 nucleotides) under uncultured Emticicia sp. RNAcentral's name for it is "partial 16S ribosomal RNA". It matches the Rfam family "Bacterial small subunit ribosomal RNA", at positions 355 to 601 of the family's 1533-position model. The record is from RNAcentral. Lineage: Bacteria; Pseudomonadati; Bacteroidota; Cytophagia; Cytophagales; Leadbetterellaceae.